Molecule: ribosomal RNA, 492 nt
Filed under: uncultured bacterium
Lineage: Bacteria
Description: partial 16S ribosomal RNA
Rfam family: Bacterial small subunit ribosomal RNA
Source: RNAcentral
AGUGAACGCUGGCGGUAGGCCUAACACAUGCAAGUCGAACGGCAGCACAGUAAGAGCUUGCUCUUACGGGUGGCGAGUGGCGGACGGGUGAGGAAUACAUCGGAAUCUACUUUUUCGUGGGGGAUAACGUAGGGAAACUUACGCUAAUACCGCAUACGACCUACGGGUGAAAGCAGGGGAUCUUCGGACCUUGCGCGAUUGAAUGAGCCGAUGUCGGAUUAGCUAGUUGGCGGGGUAAAGGCCCACCAAGGCGACGAUCCGUAGCUGGUCUGAGAGGAUGAUCAGCCACACUGGAACUGAGACACGGUCCAGACUCCUACGGGAGGCAGCAGUGGGGAAUAUUGGACAAUGGGCGCAAGCCUGAUCCAGCCAUACCGCGUGGGUGAAGAAGGCCUUCGGGUUGUAAAGCCCCUUUGUUUGGAAAGAAAAGCAGCAGGUUAAUACCCCGCUGUUCUGACGGUACCCAAAGAAUAAGCACCGGCUAACUUCGUG